AGGAGGAACAGCCCCAGUGGCGGGGCCAGCUCUGGAGCCCUGGAGUCAGCUCCUGCAGUAACUACAGAGCUCUCCGUCUGCAGGGCCUGGAGGCUCCGGGGCGGG
Molecule: microRNA precursor, 105 nt
Filed under: Canis lupus familiaris (dog)
Lineage: Eukaryota; Metazoa; Chordata; Mammalia; Carnivora; Canidae
Also listed under: 1 other name
Description: mir-8834 microRNA precursor family
Rfam family: mir-8834 microRNA precursor family
Source: Rfam by way of RNAcentral